UCAAGUCAUCAUGGCCCUUACGACCAGGGCUACACACGUGCUACAAUGGCGCAUACAAAGAGAAGCGACCUCGCGAGAGCAAGCGGACCUCAUAAAGUGCGUCGUAGUCCGGAUUGGAGUCUGCAACUCGACUCCAUGAAGUCGGAAUCGCUAGUAAUCGUGGAUCAGAAUGCCACGGUGAAUACGUUCCCGGGCCUUGUACACACCGCCCGUCACACCAUGGGAGUGGGUUGCAAAAGAAGUAGGUAGCUUAACCUUCGGGAGGGCGCUUACCACUUUGUGAUUCAUGACUGGGGUGAAGUCGUAACAAGGUAACCGUAGGGGAACCUGCGGUUGGA
Molecule: ribosomal RNA, 338 nt
Filed under: Escherichia coli
Lineage: Bacteria; Pseudomonadati; Pseudomonadota; Gammaproteobacteria; Enterobacterales; Enterobacteriaceae
Also listed under: 1 other name
Description: bacterial SSU rRNA
Rfam family: Bacterial small subunit ribosomal RNA
Source: RNAcentral